This is a non-coding RNA of Pelobates cultripes (western spadefoot toad), 396 nucleotides long. The record is from the annotation of a GenBank genome assembly. Lineage: Eukaryota; Metazoa; Chordata; Amphibia; Anura; Pelobatidae.
GCCACGCCUCCUAAAAAGCAUUUUUAUCGCUGCAUGUAAUCUCAUACUCUACUUUGUCUCCUGCACUCGCCAGCAGUCCUGCUGUGAGUAGACAAAAACUGCAUCAAGCAUAGCUUAGUCCAAGGGCCAUAAACAUUACUGCACGGCGCACAUGGGCUGAUCAGCUUCGCAGAAUGAUUACACAUUACCAGAUCUAAGCCAAGUGAACUGACCGUCUGCCAACAUCUCCUACAAAAAACUCUGAAAGGUCAAAGACAAUGACAGAGCACUCCGAUUCACAAUGUAAUAAAAUUCACAGGGUUUAAAGAAACAAACCUGGAUUCCUAACAGGAUGGUGUCCUAGUGCCCCUCCCCAUGUUUGCAGUAAAAACGCAGAGUGUGCAUCAGAGGCGGAUC